RNAcentral lists this ribosomal RNA (551 nucleotides) under uncultured bacterium. Its description in RNAcentral is "bacterial SSU rRNA". It matches the Rfam family "Bacterial small subunit ribosomal RNA", at positions 355 to 896 of the family's 1533-position model. The record is from RNAcentral.
UGGGGAAUAUUGCGCAAUGGGCGAAAGCCUGACGCAGCGACGCCGCGUGGGUGAUGAAGGCCUUCGGGUCGUAAAGCCCUGUCUGGUGGAACGAAACGCCUGGCGGCCAAUACCCGCCGGGUUUGACGGUACCACCGAAGGAAGCCCCGGCUAACUACGUGCCAGCAGCCGCGGUAAGACGUAGGGGGCGAGCGUUGUUCGGAUUUACUGGGCGUAAAGCGCGCGUAGGCGGCCAGAUAAGUCGGGUGUGAAAGCCCUCGGCUCAACCGAGGUUCCGCAUCCGAUACUGCUUGGCUGGAGUCUAGGAGAGGAGAGCGGAAUUCCCAGUGUAGCGGUGAAAUGCGUAGAUAUUGGGAGGAACACCCGUGGCGAAGGCGGCUCUCUGGACUAGUACUGACGCUGAGGCGCGAAAGCUAGGGGAGCGAACGGGAUUAGAUACCCCGGUAGUCCUAGCCGUAAACGAUGGGCACUAGGUGUGGGAGGUAUUGACCCCUUCCGCGCCGAAGCUAACGCAUUAAGUGCCCCGCCUGGGGAGUACGGCCGCAAGGCUA